RNAcentral lists this ribosomal RNA (253 nucleotides) under uncultured bacterium. RNAcentral's name for it is "partial 16S ribosomal RNA". It matches the Rfam family "Bacterial small subunit ribosomal RNA", at positions 524 to 776 of the family's 1533-position model. The record is from RNAcentral.
UACGGAGGGUGCAAGCGUUAAUCGGAAUUACUGGGCGUAAAGCGCACGCAGGCGGUUUGUUAAGUCGGGUGUGAAAUCCCUGAGCUUAACUUAGGAAUUGCAUUCGAUACUGGAAAGCUAGAGUAUGGGAGAGGAUGGUAGAAUUCCAGGUGUAGCGGUGAAAUGCGUAGAGAUCUGGAGGAAUACCGAUGGCGAAGGCAGCCAUCUGGCCUAAUACUGACGCUCAGGUGCGAAAGCGUGGGGAGCAAACAGG